This 784-nucleotide long non-coding RNA is filed under the name Sinocyclocheilus anshuiensis. Its description in RNAcentral is "lncRNA (ENSSANG00000045070.1)". Lineage: Eukaryota; Metazoa; Chordata; Actinopteri; Cypriniformes; Cyprinidae. The record is from RNAcentral.
UUUCAUCCUCAGAAAGUGACAGCGGUGAGGAUGAAAAGAAGAAAAAAAAGAAAAUGAAAAUCAGCGAAACGGCAGAGCUGGGGAUUCUAGCAGAAACAGGUCUGGAGGGAAAUACUGAAUUAACUCCUGCAGGAGAAACUAAAGGAGACGAGGAGAAGAAAAAGAAGAAAGACAAAGACUCCAGCUCUUCUUCUUCAUCCGACAGCAGCUCCUCAUCCUCCUCAGACUCAGACAGCGACGAUGACAAGAAGAAGAAGAAGAAGAAGAAGAAGAAGAAGAAGAAGAAGAAGAAGAAGAAGAAGGAUUCAUCUUCAUCAUCAAAUAGCUCUUCAUCAUCAUACAAGAAGAAGAAGAAGAAGAAGAAGAAGAAGAAGAAGAAGAAGAAGAAGAAGAAGAAGGUAAUGAUAGAAAUGAGCUACCUGGCCUGAAACCUAAAUGAAUGUGUUUGUGGAUUCAUUCUUGUCUGUGAUUAUUAAGAUGUCAUUUGCUAAGAAAAUGAAUGUAAAUGCAGAUUAAUCUCUCAAUCCUCAGGAUUCAUCAUCAUCAUCAUCUUCAUCUGACAGUGACCAUGACAAGAAGAAGAAGAAGAAGAAAAAGAAAAAGAAGAAAAAGAAGAAGAAGAAGAAGAAGAAAGUGAAGGUCAGAUUCAUUUACGUACACUGAAAAAAAAAUUGAUGUAGAAACAUUUUUCACAAAUUGCUGGUAGAUGUCACAAAGCAAUUUCAUAACAUAUAAAAUUUUGAAUUAAAAACUAAUAGUAUUUUCUUGUAAAACAUAUUCCAAU